UACGGAGGGAGCAAGCGUUACUCGGAAUUAUUGGGCGUAAAGGGCGCGUAGGCGAUUUGGCAAGUCUUGUGUGAAAGCCCACAGCCUAACUGUGGAAGUGCACAAGAUACUGCUGAAUUUGAGUUCAGGAGAGGAAGGCAGAAUUCCCGGUGUAGCGGUGAAAUGCGUAGAUAUCGGGAGGAAUACCAGUGGCGAAGGCGGCCUUCUGGACUGACACUGACGCUGAGGCGCGAAAGCUAGGGGGAGCAAACGGG
RNAcentral lists this ribosomal RNA (254 nucleotides) under uncultured bacterium. RNAcentral describes it as "partial 16S ribosomal RNA". It matches the Rfam family "Bacterial small subunit ribosomal RNA", at positions 524 to 776 of the family's 1533-position model. The record is from RNAcentral.